Molecule: ribosomal RNA, 400 nt
Filed under: uncultured bacterium
Lineage: Bacteria
Description: bacterial SSU rRNA
Rfam family: Bacterial small subunit ribosomal RNA
Source: RNAcentral
AGCGAACGUUAGCGGCGCGCUUAACACAUGCAAGUCGCACGAGAAAGGGCUUCGGCCCCGGUAAAGUGGCGCACGGGUGCGUAACACGUAGGCAAUCUUCCCUUGAGCGGGGGAUAACGUUUCGAAAGAGACGCUAAUACCGCAUAAGACCACGACCGGUUCGCCGGUUGCGGUCAAAGCUGGCCUCUUCUUGAAAGCUAGCACUUAAGGACGAGCCUGCGGCCCAUCAUGCUAGUUGGAGUGUAAUGGACUACCAAGGCGAAGACGGGUAGCUGGUCUGAGAGGAUGAUCAGCCACACUGGAACUGAACACGGUCCAGACUCCUACGGGAGGCAGCAGUGGGGAAUAUUGGACAAUGGGCGAAAGCCUGAUCCAAGCGACGCCGCGUGAGUGAUGAAGG